Molecule: ribosomal RNA, 255 nt
Filed under: uncultured bacterium
Lineage: Bacteria
Description: partial 16S ribosomal RNA
Rfam family: Bacterial small subunit ribosomal RNA
Source: RNAcentral
UACGAAGGGGGGCUAGCGUUGUUCGGAAUUACUGGGCGUAAAGCGCGCGCAGGCGGCUAUCCAAGUCAGUGGUGAAAGCCCGGAGCUCAACUCCGGAACUGCCAUUGAAACUGUUUAGCUUGAGGACGAGAGAGGUGAGUGGAAUUCCCAGUGUAGAGGUGAAAUUCGUAGAUAUUGGGAAGAACACCGGUGGCGAAGGCGGGCUCACUGGCUCGUAUCUGACGCUCAGGCGCGAUAGCGUGGGGGAUAAACAGG